RNAcentral lists this transfer RNA (72 nucleotides) under Loxodonta africana (African savanna elephant). It matches the Rfam family "tRNA". Rfam says of the family: Transfer RNA (tRNA) molecules are approximately 80 nucleotides in length. Lineage: Eukaryota; Metazoa; Chordata; Mammalia; Proboscidea; Elephantidae. The record is from Rfam by way of RNAcentral.
GCAGUGGUGGUUUAGUGGUAGAAUUCUUGCCUUCUGUACAUGAGCCCCGGGUUCGAUUCCUGGCCAAAUGUA